This is a long non-coding RNA of Neopsephotus bourkii (Bourke's parrot), 849 nucleotides long. RefSeq lists it as uncharacterized. Lineage: Eukaryota; Metazoa; Chordata; Aves; Psittaciformes; Psittacidae. The transcript is spliced from 3 exons. The record is from RefSeq and is a predicted model, not a curated record.
GUCUGGUUUAUCUGCGUGCACAGCUUUGUGCUUAUUGUGGAGAGUGCAGGUGCAGGCAGCCACAAGAGCCUAGCUCAAGCAUGGCUGCCUAGUGCCUCAUCUAGAAGCACCUUCGGUUCAGGCUGUGUGUUGCUUGAGAACUGAGGUGAAGCACCCAGUGUCAACAGCUGCAUUUGGUUUUGUAACUGUGUUGUUACAGAAAGUAGAUGAGGUCUGAGGGCUAUUACUCCUCUUCAGGUGGUUACUCUGUCUAAAACAUCAUUGGGCUUCAGCUAUUGUUACUGUGUGCUGAAUCUGAAACAGAGGAAAGCAGUCAAGUAUUGCUACAUCUGUCCUGUUAAAAAGAUAUUUUUGCUUUAAAUUGUAUUAUUAAAACUGCCUUGGGAGCAAGAGCACGGAGAAGAGCCUCACUAAGACUUGAAGGGCUGCUGCUGCGUUUGCCAGAAACCAAACAAUAACCAUUCUCAGUGGCACUGAAAUGAGCUGUGGGCUGGACCAGCAAACGCAGUACCAGAUCUGUCCAGGGAAACAUUGGGGGUUGUGUGUCUUGGUGGAUAGACCCUGCUUGUUCCUUGGACAAACAUGAAGACUUGCCUCUUUGCAUUGAGCUAUGUAUACUUUCACCAUGGGAAUAUUUGAAAGCCCAUCAUGUCACUGUGGCCAUGUGGAUUAAGGGAGGGAAUCCCAUGUGUUUUAUAAGCAGACCUGGAAGCACCACUCACCAUGCAUCUGUGAGACUGGUAUUAGUGUUUUACUUAACCAGCCAUUCAGAUCAAUUGUAUUUUUCACUUUUGCAAUUGGUGGUUGAGUAAACAAAAUAUAUGCUUAUAUAAAGUUAUUUACAGAGCA